GAAUUUUAGUCUGAUAAAGAAGCCCUAAGCUACAGAAUGAAGCUUUUAUUUACGUUAAUUUUAUGCAAGUUCUAAGUAACCAUUUUAAAUAAAAGUUCUAUAGGCUAACAAUUAAUUUAUAAUGCAGGCAUUUGGAUGCAGCUAGCGAGCAGCGUAACAUAUAAUGAUUGGAAGCUGGCGAUUCAAAUCGAUGCUAUGAUCAAAGCUGAAUUGGAAAAUAUCAAAGGGUUUGUCUACGGCAAUUCUGAAUACAAAGGUUGGCAUAGUUAUCUGAUUGAAGCACUUGCAAUGGGCCUCGAACACAAUCAAAAGAAGUUGGCGAAUCUGCAGUCAUACCAAAAGUAUAACUCGACCAGAUUAGAUCUAGAGAACCAACUGUGGCGGCUUUGCAGUGAUCUGCAACUAAAAAUUAGGGGAUACUGUUAUCAAUUCUAUCGAACACUGCGCGAUGAUGCUGUUCGGUACCUCAAGAAAUCAAAUUCAGAUAAAGCCUCAAUAAUUCAUAAAAUUCAACAUAUGUGAGUAUCGAGUGGGAGUGUGAGAGUGAGACAGAACUUAUUCAUUAAUUUUCAUGCUCAUUGACUUGGUCUAGAAAAUGUGAUAAAAUGCAGGCGGGUAAAGAGGAGGACUAUGCUUAGUGAAACCAAUUUGGGAGACGAUCCUGAUGAAGUAUUCGCCUGAACUGGUGCUGUUUAAAAACCUUCAAAUAUCAGAAACAUUAUCAAAUAUAUGUUUAAAUAUGCACAAUUGUACAAGCAUUUUUUGUACUCAAUUCGUUCUAACUUUUAAAGUUGUUUGAAUAAAAUUUAAUUUUUGCUGGUGGUA
RNAcentral lists this long non-coding RNA (825 nucleotides) under Drosophila guanche. The record is from RNAcentral. Lineage: Eukaryota; Metazoa; Arthropoda; Insecta; Diptera; Drosophilidae.